Long non-coding RNA from Melospiza melodia melodia, 2782 nucleotides. RefSeq lists it as uncharacterized. The transcript is spliced from 3 exons. The record is from RefSeq and is a predicted model, not a curated record. Lineage: Eukaryota; Metazoa; Chordata; Aves; Passeriformes; Passerellidae.
CUGUCCCUCUUGUCCUGGUGAUGUUCAUCUGACUGUGGAGAGUUUAGUUCAGGCAUGGCUUAAAGAAAAAGGCCAUGAAGCCAUGCAAUUGAGAGAAAAGUAAAAGGUAGUUGUGAAGCAGUUCCAAAAGCAGUUCCCAGGCUGAUUACUAUAAACAAUUAGACUCUCUCAGGCAUCACUUUAUAAACAAUAAGGUUCUCAGGCAGUCUUCCCAUAACAAGUGAAACACCCUCUCUGGGAAAAGAUGGCACCCUGGGAACAGAUAUGGAAGUUUUGGGAACCUUUCAUAUCACAGUGGGAACACUGGUUUUGUUUUGUGUAAACAAUUAACGGUAUUGUAAAACAAAAGGAGUGGUUAGAGUUUUCUCUGUUAGCCUAUCAUGAACCUGUAUUUUGGAAUAUGCAUGAAGUUCGUUAACACUGUUAUUUAAACUGGCUGAUCGAUCAAUAAACCGAGUUCGAUGCAUCAAAGGAUGGUCGUUCUCCCCCCACUUCAACAUCUGACCAUGCAGGCUCCAUUAGUAUUCAGACAUCCAGGUGGAUAGCAGCCCUGUUGCAAUGCUGGGGCCUCAGGCUUGUUAUCACACCACACACCUGAGCAAUGCAUCACUGUGAACAUCCUAGCUGGGGCAGGCAGAAACAUCAGCACUUCUGUCUUGGUUCAGCCUUUGUGCUGGCUAUGGCUGUUUGCCAUCCUGAUGCUGUACUUGCAGAGGUUUCCUUUCUUUGAGGAAGCUGGUGUUACUCAGUAGUGCCUAAUGCCUGUUCCUCUUCUCCCUGGCAGGGCCAUCCCUCCUCCCCCCGCACAGUUGCUGCAGCUCCAAGCCACAUGCUCCAUCUGUGCCAGGGACACAGUGGUUCUUGCUGCCUGCAGGCAUGUCCCAGCAUUCACAGAACUGAGCUAACUUUGCCUUUCUGCCUUCUGUUCACCACCUUCCAGAUCUGCCCUUUCUGGUUCUCUCCACACUGUUGUCUCCAGGACUUUUCUAGCUCUAGGAUGGUGUCUGGUCCUGGAUGCAGGACAUUCCCACUCUGGACUGUCCUCAAUGGGAGUGGCAAGACUCUCCUGGUACCAAGGUAACACAGAGGAAUGAGUAACAAUUCCAAAUUAUGGCUGCUAUUAAUUUGAGAGACGUGCAUGUUGAAAAAACAAAGAAAGGGGAAUACGGCUCCUCAAGAACAUUUAGAUAAUGCAAUACUUAUACAAGAAUUUCUGAAAGCAGAUCAUCAAUUUUGAUCCCCGACAGAGCGAUACUGCUCUGAAGAUUUGCAGAUACAGAACCUGUGGAGGCCAGAAAUCUGUCCAAGCAAAAGCCUGCUGCACUCCCUGGAGGACUGACCCCAAAGCCACAACCCCUGUGGUUAUGGUGAACAAAAAGAGCAUCCCCUCCGCUCCUUGGGUUUUUAUGUUGAUUCCUUGUAUCCCACUGGCCCUUCCCCUUUGCUCCACCCCUGUGCCCUCAUCCCGUUGGCCCUGGUGUUCUGUCCCACCCCUCGAGAUCCCUAUAUAAACCCUUGCUUUUGCUGCCGGACUGGCUCUUUUGUCCUUGGAUCCCUUUGAGGAGGAAGCUCAAUAAAGGGUCUCCUUGGAACACCACACCAUGACCCUGUCUCUCCUUCUGGACUGACUGGAUUGUAAAGCUGAAAUCACCUGGUGUGAGCACAGACGUGCCUGUGCCCCCAAGGUGUCUUUUUCAAGACACUUCUUCGGGAAGGUUGCGACACUCUGAACAAUGCUGGCGAUGACAGAACCAGUUUCUAGAAGUUUUACAUAAGGAUCCACCAUUGGAUGUGCAAUGGCAAGGCCGAGCUGAUUUACUAACCUAAGGGAGAAUGUAGGCAUGUGUUUUUAUUGCCAACAGGUCUAAAGUGGUUACCUGCUUGUCUGGACAAACAUUGAUUGCCUCCAAGGAGAUGAGGCCCAGUGAGAGGAGAAAUGACCUAAUCACAGCCCAGCCCUGGUGCCAGUGCAGGAGCAGGGGCAGGACUGCCAGGACAUGGCCUUGUCUGGAGGCUCACGAAGGCAGCCUGCUUGUGUCGCACUGCACCCACUGUAUGGUGUUCCUGCUGACCUUCUUCAGUUAUUCCCUGUUCCAUGCUUCCAGAAGGACAUUCGGUAAUGUCAAAGACAGCAUUUCUAUCUAAUGGACUUCCUCCUACCUAAACAGCACAGCCUCUGAGCUCCAGCCAGAUGAACUUUGGAAGAGGAGCCAUUUCUUUCCAUUUCCUGGGGACAUUGGACACCAUCUUUUUGUUUUCCUCUGCUGUGAGUGUCUUUGUCAGUGGCAUGGUUAUAUUUGAUGGGGUUUUUAUUGAUUGUGAUCUGUGUUCCUUGUAUCUUAUCCUGUGUCCAGCAGAUGACCAGUAAUAGUCGUAAUAAGAUUAUUACAGGUGCAGACUGUUUUGGCAUUAGGGUACAUGAACCCUUUGCACAAAAAACAAAGGGGGAGAUGUUGAUAUUGGCAAAACUUUACAAAAUAAGGGCCUUGUUACCCUUUGAAAAAUAUGGCUCAGGCCUAUUUGACUAAGUAGAAAAGGACUAUGGGAAAGUGACUCAGAUGAAUUACAGGUAGAAAAAUAAGUUAUAUAACUACUACAUGUUCACAUUGUGGUUUAUGGUGAUUAGUUGAAUAACAUUUGUUGUGCUUAAAUGGAAUGUAACUGAUAAAGGCCUAACUGCUUGAAAAGUCCUGGUUUUGCAAUUAAGAGUUCUCUCUUGCACCUGCCUGGGGAGUCUGCAUCACUCUGCUUCGUAACUAUGGACCUGUUAAACUUGUGAACA